This is a long non-coding RNA of Cavia porcellus (domestic guinea pig), 8080 nucleotides long. RefSeq lists it as uncharacterized. The record is from RefSeq and is a predicted model, not a curated record. The transcript is spliced from 2 exons. Lineage: Eukaryota; Metazoa; Chordata; Mammalia; Rodentia; Caviidae.
CCCCACCUCCCUCCUGCCUGUUUACCCUGAAACUGACACCCUGGUGAUGGAUAGGUGACUGUUUUUACGGCGAGAAACAGGAACAGCGAUGGUGAAUUAGAGCCAGAAUGAUCCUUCUGUCGUAGCCCGUGGGGGAUUUUUAACAGCCCUUCGAGCUGCGCUGGGAAUGUGGUCAGUAGCAAUCUGGGAGCCUUAAACCGUGGAUUUCACCCACUUUCUGCACUUUUCAGGAAAAGCAAAGAGAACCUUGUGGGGAGAAAAAUUUUGUGUCCAGGUAGCCACGGCAGCCUGCUUGGAAUGGUAAGAAAUGAGGAACUGCCACGUGCCAGUGUUUGGGGUGUGGUCAUGGAAGGGGUCAGGGUGGACACAGGCCCUGUGGGACAGACAGCUGUCAGGUUGGCCGUGGCUUGCAUGGACCACAGAACCUGAGAAUGCCUUUGACCAUUUCCCUGGAAAACUCUAAAACUCCCACUUUGUAGUUCAGGUUGGAUUUGACCUGAUUGUGUAGCCCAGGCUGGCUUGGAACCUGCGGUGAUCCUCCUGCCUCAGCCUCCUGAGUGCUGGGAUUGCAGGUGUGUGCCACCACACCACAUGGCAAGUUCCAUUAAGUUAUUGCAGGCCAUUAAAAGCACCUAGACUAAACCAGAUAUUUCACGUACAGGCUGAAUAUCCCUUGUCUCAAAUGUAUACGAGCAGAAGUGUUUGGGAUUCAGAUGUUUUUCAGAUUUUGGAAUAUUUUCAGCUAAAUAAUGGGGUACCUUGGGGAUACAACUCAAGUUUAAACAUACAGUGCACUUGUUUCAUUCCUGAGGUUCCUUUUGUGGUGCUGGGGCUGGAACCUGGGACCUCACAUGUGCUAGGCAGGUGCUUUAACCCUGAGCUACACAGCCUCAGCUUGGAAGGUGAUUUUUAAUCACUGUAAAUAAUUUUGUGCACGAAGCAGUGUUUCACUCAUGAGGUUAGAUGCAGAAUUCCCCACUAAUGGUAUCAUGCUGGCGCUCAAAAAAUUUCAGGCUGUGGAAUAUUUUGAAUUUUGGAGUUUCAGAGUGAAUCACUCCCCCCUGGGUAUGGCUCACCUUGAAGUGUGAUUUUCUUUUCUUUUCUUCUUAAGCAAAUAUUUAUUUUUGUUUUGUUUUUGUCUUUUUGAGACACGGUCUCGCUAUGCAGUUCAGGCUGGCCUUGAGCUCACUUUGUAGCUAAGGCUGGCCUCGAACUUGCAACAAUCCUCCUGCCUCAGCCUCCCAGGUGCUGGGAUUAUAGGCAUGCACUACUCUGCCUGUGCCCGGCUCACACAGUGUGAUUUUCUCACUCGACCAUGCCUGCCAUGAGGAAGAGGUCUUGUGGGUCCCACUGCUGUCUGUACCCCAGCAUCUAUGACAGUGCCUCUCCAUAGUAAUGGCAGCCCAUCUCUGGAAUGAAGGACUUUGUUAGUGGCCUUGGGCCACAUGCAAAGUGUCCUAGUAGACCUCUGACCUUGUAGACAGAGCUGCUUCAGUUCAUGAGCGUGACCACAAACUGAUGGACACUUGCAAAUAAUAGCAGUGCUCCUUUGAAAGAGCCGGUGACUUUCUGAGGUCAGCGAGGCAUCCUUAUUUCCACUGUGGGACGGGGCUGACCCACCGAGGGCCUAGCCGCUUGGGCUCAGGGUUCUGACACCAAAGUCAGUGACCUGACACUAAGCUAAGAAAAUAAAGAUCGUGGGUGAACCCUGAGCCUCUAUCUCAUUUCAUUGCUUAAAGACAGAACCCACAUAACCGUUUUAUUGAAGGGGCAGUGUUCGAUCAGAACCCUCCGAGUCAAGUGAUGGGCCCGAUGUUUUGUAAUAUCUCCUGCUUCCUGGAGGCGAUGUGCUUAGCUCGGAGACCUCCAUCUUCUGAAUUGCCUGUUCCUGCUUCAUACGCAACCGCAAAAAUGCACCACCAUGCAUGGAGGAGGAUUUCCUUAGUUAUAAGUUUAUGGAUUGGUGCAGGGAGGGGCUGGCAGAUUGUUUAUUUGUGGCUCCUGCCGCUUUCUGAAGCAAGUCUGGAAUCUUCUUUCAUGAGGGUCUUUACUUGUGCUGUUGGGGCUGCCUUGAUGUUCUAUAAUGAUUCAAAACGUUUACCGCAGUCAUUCUGACUUGGGGAAGAGUCAGGAGUCGCACGGUGCCGGAUCCUCGAAAGGAGGUGGCCGAGGACACGGGUCACCUCUCACCGGGCCGUCUUCACACUGGAUGGCGCACGGCAGCAGCGUUCACUGUGCUGUUGUUUUUAGAUCACAUUUGUGAAGACACACAAGAAGACUUCAGCACUGCUUCAGAAAGCGUCAAGACAGUGGGACAAGGUGCUGGGAGCAGCUGGGAGCAUUGUAUGUGCCGGGGCAGGGAUGGCACCCAGGGCCCUGCGCGUGCUGCAGAGCCCGCCCUGUGGCUGGUUCUGCUUCCCCUGGGCGCUGGGCCGGCCUUGCCAUCUUGCUCAUGUUUUCUGGCAUGGCCCGAGGGCCGGCCCAGCUCUCACGCUUGCCCAAUGCUCUCUGUAGCCCAGACUGCCAGCCGGGAGCACCGGCCCCCUGGUGCCAUCAGAGACCCAAGGGCACAGGUGGACGUGCCUGGGAUCGCAUGGCCGGAACUGGUGUUCGUCUGCCCUGUGCCCUUGGCCCAGCCAGGGGGCCCAGAUCAAGGACGGAGGAGGAGCUUCCCUUCUUCAUCGGAAGCUGGGAAAGAAGCAAAGGAGUGGAAUCCAGGUCGACUGAAGGAGACAGCUGUGUCCUAGUCACCUGUUUGUCACUGGGACACAGUUCCUGACACCCAGAGCUUAUUCUGGCUCAUGUGUUUAGUCCAGAGCUGGCUGGCUCCAAGGCAUGGCUGAAGGCUUUGGCGGAGGAGGGCUGCUCGUGUCAUGGAGGGCAGGAAGAGGGAUGGAAGGGAGGAGCUGGAGGGAGAGAAACCCUUCCAGGUCACCCCACUGACCCCGCUGGGCCCCGCCUCCUAACAGUGAGCACCCCAGGGGCCCGGUCCUCUCCAAAAAGCCCUACCAACAAGUGCACGAGGUCACUGAGGGACAUUUUCCACAUACACCAUAGCAAGUGUGAACCUUGAGGGGUACAGUUACUGAUCCUAAGUAUGUGUUGAGCUUUAUCAGGAAUCACCAUUUCUCUCAAAAUUGUACCAAUUUUCAUCCUCUUCAGUAGCACACCAAAGUCCCAAAUGCUGGAUCCUGUCAGUGUUGUUAAUUUCGGCUGUGUGGGGGGCGAGGUAGUGGUUCCUUAUGGUUUUUCAAAGUGCAUCUCUCUGCUGAUGAGUGAGGUUGGAAACCUUUCCGGGUCUGUGGGCCAUUUAUAUUGCUUUUUUGGUAAACUGUCUGCUCUGAUGUUUUGCACUCGGGCUAACUGGGCUAUCUGCUUCUCACUGAUAAGAGCAUUCCAAAGGGAGGGGACAAGAAUGUUCUCAUGUGACGAAGAGGGUGUCCAGGCUUCCCUUUCUGGGAUUGGCCAGGGUAACGCAGUGGGUCUUUGGAAGUACAUUUUAAGGUGGAGAAAGACAAAUUAUUUGAGCACAAAACAUCGAAGAAGAGUCUAACCUCAAACUUUAGUCCUGUUUUUCGGAUUCUGGGUGUCUUAGUUACUUCUUAUUUGUCGCUGAGACAAAAUACCUGAUGCCCAAAGUUGGGAAGGAAAGUGUCGGUGUUGCUCCCGGCCGGCAGGAAAGACACACGACAAGGUCUGGCGGUGGUCAGGCUUUUCUUUAUUUUCUCUCCGUACAGUCUGCCCCGAAGCCUCUACCGGUCCGCUCUCCGCGGCUCCUUCCGUGCUUCAGUCUGCCCCGAAGCCUCUACCGGUCCGCUCCCCGCGGCUCCUUUCGUGCUUCUGUCUCGAGCAGGAGAGGCACUCGCUUAUAUGCAGACCCAUCAUCCAAUCAAGCAAAAGCGGGUGAUGCAAGCUGAUUGGCUAGCAUCAGUUGUUGCUAGGUAGACUAUUCCGCUGAGCGGGAUGUUUAUGUAGCCAGGACAAUCAGAAAGCAGGAGGCAGGCACCAUCUCGGCUCACUCGAUGGGAGGGGUAAUUUAGCUCAGGCUUCGCUCUUUCCUACAGGCCGCAUGACCGCCGCGCAUGGUGAUCUAGCGCUGCUGCGGCUCCCAACAGGAAAGGUCUAUUUUUUAUAGUUUUUGGAGGUUUUUUAUAGUUAUGGAGGUCAGUCCAUACUCAGUUGGCUCCAAGGCAGGGUGGCAUGGUGGGCCUGCAGUUUAUGGCAGCUGCAAACAGCAAGGUGGAAACUGGCAAGAGAGAGAGAGAGAGACACCUUCUUCCUGCCAUUACAUCACAUCCUGGCUCCACCCCUUUGUGGGUGUAGCACUGACACCAUCAAUCCAAGCACUAUACAAUGAACCAAUCACAGAUGCACAAUGCAAAUGUAUGAGGCCAGGGCCAUAGACAUAAACCAUGACAUUCCACCCCUGGACUCCUGGACUCAUGUACAUCCUAUAUAUAAAAGACACUUAGUUUAUUUAGUUUAUCUCCAAGAGUUGCCAAAGUCCUAACAGUUUUAACAUUGUUGAAAAGUCUGUCUUAAGUCUCCUCUAAGAUCUAUGGCAAACUCUUAACUGUAACCCCCUGUACGAGUGAAACAAGGUUAAACAUUUUGAAAUGCAAAGGCACAAGAUAAAUAUUACCAUUUUAAAAGUUACAAGCUGGGGAAUAUAAAGGAUUGGAGACAAAGCAAGUCUAACAUCUAGCAGGGCGAACAUUAAGUCUUAGAGUUUUAUGCUCAGCCUUUGAAGCAAUCUGGUUGCAAGCUCCAACAGGCUUGGGUGAUUUCACCUCCGUGGCACUUUUAGGGAUAUCAGCUCCGGCAGCUUUUUAAAAAACCUUCUCUGUUCACUUUUUGUAGCUGUUCUUGGAUGAUCCAUGUUUUUGGCUUUUAAAAACUUCUGUUCCACUGCACCUUUGGCUUCACCCUUACAUCUUUAUAAAUUGCCUUCCAGGGGCACACUGCUUGGCUUCCCAGGCCCUUUGCAAUCGAGGUGGAAGCCGUCCUACCCUGAGAAUUUGUGCAUUUUUUGGUAUCUAAAACCAGCACCAUGUGGAUGCUGCUAGCUGGAGCAGUAGCCAGGCUUUUUUAUUUUUGGGAGGGCUGUAGGGGUCGAUUGCCUGGAUUUUUGGGCUCUUUGAACCUGAUUGUGAAGAAAAGCUUCUCUGUGUUGUCGCCAUUGUGGAACCUCAUGUGGCCUCCAUCACCAUUUUGGAGCAUGGUGCUCUGCAGCUUUUUUUUUUUUGAGCAAGGUUUUUUACUUUUGCAGUUUUGAGGCUGCAAAGGGUGGAGACACGCUGCUUCUUGGGAUGCCCUGUGGCCAUCUUUUUAUCUCUAUUUUUUUUCAGCAAUCUAAGUCUCAACUCUAUCUUUACAAUCUACAGCUUUAUUGGGUUUUUAUAUUUGGCCAAACUCACAGCAUUUUAUUUCUCCUUUUUUUUUUUUUUUUUGUCUUUUUCGUUUUUAUCGGUACCAGGGAUCGAACUCACGACCACACACUUGCAAGAAAGGUGCUUAUGCCACUGAGCUAAAUCCCCAGCCCCUACUCACAGCAUUUUAAAUUGUCCUGCUGGGCUCUUUGUUUUUGAUUUGUAACAUAAAGCUGGCUAAAACCCCCAACAGUAGCCAUGCCACAGCUCAACAUUUGACUGUUUUGAAAUUUUUUUUGCCAGAUUAAUCAGCCCAUUACCCUUAGUCUCAGCCUCAGGCAAAGUCUCUGGGCAUGAGCAAAAUGCAGACAAACUUUCUGCCGAGCCAUAAUGCACAUCGUGGGGAGUCCAAUGACCAAUGCAGUCCUUUCUUUUUUUUUAGCAGAAACCUCCCAAGCCUGGUCUUUAGCAUCAGGCUUUUUUAAAAAAAAAAAAAUCAGCCUUCUGGUCUCCUGAGCUCUGACCAGAAUCUCCUCUAUAGAACAGCCUAAGCUGCUCCAGUCUAUGCAUCCAGGUGACAUGUCUGAACCUUUUAAAACUCUGCUCACAAGCCAUUUUUAGAGUCUCUCGAAAAACAUGGUCAGAUAUAGUCAAGGUAAUGACCCCACUCCUGGUACCAAAUUUUGUCUUAAUUACUUUUUAUUCAUUGCUGUAACAAAAUAUCUGAUGCCCAAAGUUGGGAAAGGAAAGGUUUAUUUUUUAUAGUUUUUAGAAGUUUUAGUCUAUACCCAAUUGGCUCCAAAGCAGGGUGGCAUGGCAGGGCUACAGUUUAUGGCAGCUGCAAACCGAAAGGCAGAAACCAGCAAGAGAGAGAGACACACCUCCUUCCUGCCAUUACAUUGUAUGCUGGCUCCAUCCCUAAGCAGAUGUAGCAUUGACACCAUCAAUCUAAGUGCUGGACAAUGAACCAAUCACAAAUGCACAAUGCAAAGGCAUGAGGCCUGGGGGCCAGUGACAUAAACCAUGACACUGGGUGACUUGUUAAAACAGGUCCUGGGAGUCCUGCCUGGCCCAGAGUUUUGGGGUCCAGGUGGAGAUGGGGGUGUAAGGAGCUCCCUGGAGAUGCUGGUGUGCCCUCUGCAGACCACUGGGAGCAGCUGCUGUACACACUCAGGCUGAAGCCAGACCACAGUGAGGACUGUUGGUUUCCCCUUGGCCAAUUUCUGCCUUUGAAGGCCCUCCUGCUUCAUCUGCCCGCCCCCCACCCCAUCCUGCAGAGCUAUUGGACAUAAGGGGUGAUUGACAAGCCAUAUUGUCCACUGGUACAGGGGCAAAGACGUUCCGGGGAGCAAGGAGUUAAGGGGUAGGGGGCAAGCAGGCCAGCGGAGUUCCCAGCUGACCCAAGGCCAGGGCCCUGAGAGUCUUUCAGAGCAGACGUGGUACAUUACUUGCAUCUGCCAUGAUUUGGGUUUCUUUUCUGAGUGGGAAAGAUGCGUCUAGUGUAUUUAAAACAUUUUAAAGCCAGGAUGGUGGUUCUGGCAUGUAAUACCAGCCACUGGGGAAGCUGAGGCAGGACAGUUGCAAGCUGGAGUUCAGACAGUUUAGAGAGACUGUGUCUCACAAAAUAAUCUGUUGUUAACAUUUAUAUGUUUUUAGGGAGUUAGAUCUUUUGAAACUAGAAAGGGAGCCAAGAGAUGAAGAAGGGAAAGAGGAUGUAAAAAGUACUAAGAUGUACGAUGCAUGUGUACGAGCUCCUCACAACGCACGUAAUCAUUAUGUACUGCAGAGAAUUAAUAAAACCCAAGCUGGAGAUUUUCUAUAACAAUCCGCCCUCAGGCUUGAAAAAAUCAGAAGAGCCUGAAGCACCUCUCCUCCCCCCAGCAACAGCAUAGACUUCUCAUGCAAAGCCAGGGCCGCCCCUGCUGACCUCAGCACUGCCUAGAGAGCAUCACACUUACUGUGACAGCCCUGAUCGCCUGCGGCUUCCCGGGGACUGUGCUGCCCACUGGUUACCUCACCGGACCGCACUGCAGCCCAGCAAGGGGUGCUGCUCUGCACCCCGCCCCCCCACAGGUGGAGUAGUGGGUGCUAGUGUUAAACGGAGGCUCCGUGCAAGCUGCCUCGCAGGGCCAAGUGGCGGGGCUGGGAUCUGAACCCAGAACCCGACCUCAGCCCGCUGGGUGCCUGAUGUCUGAGAUCCUGUAAUGUUUGGGGCAGCCGUGCUUAGCUUUGUAGCGGGACUUUCUGAAGAAUCUCCACGUCAGAUGCAGGCUGAUUCUUCCUCCUCUUGGUGCCAAGCAGGUGGUUUCUGCAGAGAAGGUCAGGAUCAUCUGUUGGGCCCUCUCCAGGGUCAGUUCCCAGUCUUCCCCAGGAGGGUCCCAGGUCUAAGCCGAUUGGUGCUUCUCAUUCCAUUAACCACGCCCAUUGGUUCAGAGAUGGGAAUCAGGUUAAAGCUGGCCAAUCAGAGCAAGCCCCAGGGAUGCUGGAAUUGCCAGAAAAAGAGACCAGCUCUCCUCCACUGCUCUUGAAUCUGACAGGAUGUAACCUCAAAAGAGCUGGCAGCUCUUUUGACCCCAUGAGGUGACAGGAUGCCAGACAGAAAAACCAGGUCCUGAUAACAGCGUUUGUGCCUUGAGUCGCACUGCGCUUGAAGUCAGGUCAACCUGUGCACUGUUCAACUCUAUGACCCAAUAAAUUCUUUUAGUUUGAAA